RNAcentral lists this ribosomal RNA (429 nucleotides) under Acidobacteriota bacterium. RNAcentral's name for it is "Acidobacteria bacterium partial 16S ribosomal RNA". It matches the Rfam family "Bacterial small subunit ribosomal RNA", at positions 355 to 776 of the family's 1533-position model. The record is from RNAcentral. Lineage: Bacteria; Pseudomonadati; Acidobacteriota.
UGGGGAAUUUUGGACAAUGGGGGAAACCCUGAUCCAGCCAUCCCGCGUGUGCGAUGAAGGCCUUCGGGUUGUAAAGCACUUUUGGCAGGAAAGAAACGUCAUGGGUUAAUACCCCGUGAAACUGACGGUACCUGCAGAAUAAGCACCGGCUAACUACGUGCCAGCAGCCGCGGUAAUACGUAGGGUGCAAGCGUUAAUCGGAAUUACUGGGCGUAAAGCGUGCGCAGGCGGUUCGGAAAGAAAGAUGUGAAAUCCCAGAGCUCAACUUUGGAACUGCAUUUUUAACUACCGGGCUAGAGUGUGUCAUAGGGAGGUGGAAUUCCGCGUGUAGCAGUGAAAUGCGUAGAUAUGCGGAGGAACACCGAUGGCGAAGGCAGCCUCCUGGGAUAACACUGACGCUCAUGCACGAAAGCGUGGGGAGCAAACAGG